This 468-nucleotide ribosomal RNA is filed under the name uncultured bacterium. RNAcentral describes it as "partial 16S ribosomal RNA". It matches the Rfam family "Bacterial small subunit ribosomal RNA", at positions 28 to 507 of the family's 1533-position model. The record is from RNAcentral.
GACGAACGCUGGCGGCGUGCUUAACACAUGCGAGUCGAACGGAAAGGCCCUGCUUUUGUGGGGUGCUCGAGUGGCGAACGGGUGAGUAACACGUGAGUAACCUGCCCUUGACUUUGGGAUAACUUCAGGAAACUGGGGCUAAUACCGGAUAGGAGCUCCUGCUGCAUGGUGGGGGUUGGAAAGUUUCGGCGGUUGGGGAUGGACUCGCGGCUUAUCAGCUUGUUGGUGGGGUAGUGGCUUACCAAGGCUUUGACGGGUAGCCGGCCUGAGGGGGUGACCGGCCACAUUGGGUCUGAGAUACGGCCCAGACUCCUACGGGAGGCAGCAGUGGGGAAUAUUGCACAAUGGGCGGAAGCCUGAUGCAGCAACGCCGCGUGCGGGAUGACGGCCUUCGGGUUGUAAACCGCUUUCGCCUGUGACGAAGCGUGAGUGACGGUAAUGGGUAAAGAAGCACCGGCUAACUACGUG